UGGGGAAUAUUGGACAAUGGGCGAAAGCCUGAUCCAGCAAUUCCGCGUGUGUGAAGAAGGCCUUAGGGUUGUAAAGCACUUUAAUCAGGGAAGAAAAGCUUUGGCUAAUAUCCAAAGCCUUGACGGUACCUGAAGAAUAAGCACCGGCAAACUCUGUGCCAGCAGCCGCGGUAAUACAGAGGGUGCGAGCGUUAAUCGGAUUUACUGGGCGUAAAGCGUGCGUAGGAGGCUUGUUAAGUCGGUUGUGAAAUCCCCGGGCUCAACCUGGGAACUGCAGUCGAUACUGGCAAGCUAGAGUUCGGUAGAGGGUGGUGGAAUUUCCGGUGUAGCGGUGAAAUGCGUAGAGAUCG
RNAcentral lists this ribosomal RNA (350 nucleotides) under uncultured bacterium. Its description in RNAcentral is "bacterial SSU rRNA". It matches the Rfam family "Bacterial small subunit ribosomal RNA", at positions 355 to 699 of the family's 1533-position model. The record is from RNAcentral.